CCUACGGGAGGCAGCAGUGGGGAAUAUUGGGCAAUGGGCGCAAGCCUGACCCAGCAACGCCGCGUGAAGGAAGAAGGCUUUCGGGUUGUAAACUUCUUUUCUCAGGGACGAAGCAAGUGACGGUACCUGAAGAAUAAGCCACGGCUAACUACGUGCCAGCAGCCGCGGUAAUACGUAGGUGGCAAGCGUUAUCCGGAUUUACUGGGUGUAAAGGGCGUGUAGGCGGGAAAGCAAGUCAGAUGUGAAAACCAUGGGAUCAACCUCUGGCCUGCAUUUGAAACUGUUUUUAGUGAGUACUGGAGAGGCAGACGGAAUUCCUAGUGUAGCGGUGAAAUGCGUAGAUAUUAGGAGGAACACCAGUGGCGAAGGCGGUCUGCUGGACAGCAACUGACGCUGAGGCGCGAAAGCGUGGGGAGCAAACAGGAUUAGAUACCCUUGUAGUC
This 443-nucleotide ribosomal RNA is filed under the name uncultured bacterium. Its description in RNAcentral is "partial 16S ribosomal RNA". It matches the Rfam family "Bacterial small subunit ribosomal RNA", at positions 338 to 795 of the family's 1533-position model. The record is from RNAcentral.